This 253-nucleotide ribosomal RNA is filed under the name uncultured bacterium. RNAcentral describes it as "partial 16S ribosomal RNA". It matches the Rfam family "Bacterial small subunit ribosomal RNA", at positions 524 to 776 of the family's 1533-position model. The record is from RNAcentral.
UACAGAGGUGGCAAGCGUUGUUCGGAAUUACCGGGCGUAAAGGGCGCGUAGGCGGCCUUGUAAGUCCUGUGUGAAAUCCCCCGGCUCAACUGGGGAACUGCACAGGAGACUGCUUGGCUUGAGUUCGGGAGAGGGAAGCGGAAUUCCGGGUGUAGCGGUGAAAUGCGUAGAUAUCCGGAGGAACACCGGUGGCGAAGGCGGCUUCCUGGACCGACACUGACGCUGAGGCGCGAAAGCCAGGGGAGCAAACGGG